UAGACUAUACUUUCAGGGAUCAUGUCUAUAGUUUAUUACUAGAGAAGUAUCUCUGAAUGUGUUGAGUACCCAAAACCAUGAGGAAGAGAAGCUAGCUGCUCAUUUCCCCUUGAUGAUAGUUCUUUUCCUCUUUGGGGGAUUAAGAGACAAGAGACACACUGUCUGAGGGGC
Molecule: small nucleolar RNA, 171 nt
Filed under: Vulpes vulpes (red fox)
Lineage: Eukaryota; Metazoa; Chordata; Mammalia; Carnivora; Canidae
Description: Small nucleolar RNA U3 (ENSVVUG00000012791.1)
Rfam family: Small nucleolar RNA U3
About the family: Small nucleolar RNAs (snoRNAs) are involved in the processing and modification of rRNA in the nucleolus. There are two main classes of snoRNAs: the box C/D class, and the box H/ACA class. U3 snoRNA is a member of the box C/D class.
Source: Rfam by way of RNAcentral